Molecule: ribosomal RNA, 490 nt
Filed under: uncultured bacterium
Lineage: Bacteria
Description: partial 16S ribosomal RNA
Rfam family: Bacterial small subunit ribosomal RNA
Source: RNAcentral
AUUGAACGCUGGCGGCAGGCCUAACACAUGCAAGUCGAACGGUAACAGGAAGAAGCUUGCUUCUUUGCUGACGAGUGGCGGACGGGUGAGUAAUGUCUGGGAAACUGCCUGAUGGAGGGGGAUAACUACUGGAAACGGUAGCUAAUACCGCAUAACGUCGCAAGACCAAAGAGGGGGACCUUCGGGCCUCUUGCCUUCGGAUGUGCCCAGAUGGGAUUAGCUAGUAGGUGGGGUAACGGCUCACCUAGGCGACGAUCCCUAGCUGGUCUGAGAGGAUGACCAGCCACACUGGAACUGAGACACGGUCCAGACUCCUACGGGAGGCAGCAGUGGGGAAUAUUGCACAAAGGGCGCAAGCCUGAUGCAGCCAUGCCGCGUGUAUGAAGAAGGCCUUCGGGUUGUAAAGUACUUUCAGCGGGGAGGAAGGGAGUAAAGUUAAUACCUUUACUCAUUGACGUUACCCGCAGAAGAAGCACCGGCUAACUCCGUG